CUUUGUACUGGUUGGUACACAUUCUGGCCAAGUUAAUAAUGAGAAAAAAAGCAAGAAGAAAGUUUAAUUAUGGAAAAAACCUUUAUACAUGGUGGACCAUUGUUGUGAGGAAAUCAUACAGCGCCAUUGUUUAACCAAAAUGCGAAAAAAUUUCUGUAUAAAAGUUAUACCAUUGGUUAAGACUCAUUUCAUAAAAAAAUGUUUACAUGGUAUCUCAAAGAGGAGGUAAUCCUUACUUUUCCGUGUAUAAACAAGGUAUGAAAUUUUUCAUGCAGUACACUUUUUUAGUUUCAUAAGAAUUGUAGAGUUGCCACGCUGUUUAUAACUUUCUAAAAAAUUCGGACGUAACGGCAGACUUAAAGGGAAAUAAAAAAACAGUAAUCA
Long non-coding RNA from Leptinotarsa decemlineata (Colorado potato beetle), 384 nucleotides. Lineage: Eukaryota; Metazoa; Arthropoda; Insecta; Coleoptera; Chrysomelidae. The record is from RefSeq and is a predicted model, not a curated record.